CAGGGGGUGCAAACGUUGCUCGGAAUUAUUGGGCGUAAAGCGCGCGUAGGCGGCCACUUAAGUCGGAUGUGAAAGCCCCUGGCUCAACUGGGGAAGUGCACCCGAAACUGAAUGGCUUGAGUGCGAAAGAGGGUCGCGGAAUUCCCGGUGUAGAGGUGAAAUUCGUAGAUAUCGGGAGGAACACCGGUGGCGAAGGCGGCGACCUGGGUCGACACUGACGCUGAGGCGCGAAAGCGUGGGGAGCAAACAGGAUUAGGUACCCUGGUAGUCCACGCCGUAAACGAUGGGUGCUAGAUGUUUCUGGUAUUGACCCCGGAGGCGUCGUAGCUAACGCGUUAAGCACCCGCCUGGGAAGUACGGCCGCAAGGCUA
RNAcentral lists this ribosomal RNA (371 nucleotides) under uncultured organism. RNAcentral describes it as "bacterial SSU rRNA". It matches the Rfam family "Bacterial small subunit ribosomal RNA", at positions 526 to 896 of the family's 1533-position model. The record is from RNAcentral.